GAAGUGGUGGUUCGGUGGUAGAAUUCUUGCCUUCCAUGUGGGAGACCGGGGUUCAAUUCCCAGCCAAUGUA
Molecule: transfer RNA, 71 nt
Filed under: Loxodonta africana (African savanna elephant)
Lineage: Eukaryota; Metazoa; Chordata; Mammalia; Proboscidea; Elephantidae
Rfam family: tRNA
About the family: Transfer RNA (tRNA) molecules are approximately 80 nucleotides in length. Their secondary structure includes four short double-helical elements and three loops (D, anti-codon, and T loops).
Source: Rfam by way of RNAcentral